This 294-nucleotide unclassified non-coding RNA is filed under the name Resupinatus conspersus. RNAcentral's name for it is "partial contains 5.8S ribosomal RNA, internal transcribed spacer 2, and large subunit ribosomal RNA". Lineage: Eukaryota; Fungi; Basidiomycota; Agaricomycetes; Agaricales; Resupinataceae. The record is from RNAcentral.
CGCACCUUGCACCCUUUGGUAUUCCGAAGGGUAUGCCUGUUUGAGUGUCAUUAUAUUAUCAAAUCUCUUCAGCUUUGCGGCUGAAUGGGACUUGGAUGUGAAGGUUGCGGGCUUCAAUUAGAGGUCGGCUCCUUUCAAAUGCAUUAGCGAGACUAUUGUGAUCGUUCUUGGUGUGAUAAUUAUCUACGCCUUGAAGUUUGAACACAAAUUCAUUAGGAUCGCUUCUAAUCGUCUGUAAUGGACAAUACUUGACUAUUUGACCUCAAAUCAGGUAGGACUACCCGCUGAACUUAA